ACCUACGGGGCGCAGCAGGGAAUUUUCGUCAAUGGGCGCAAGCCUGAACGAGCAAUGCCGCGUGAACGAGGAAGGUCUUCGGAUCGUAAAGUUCUGUUGAAGGGGAAAAAGAGCGGAGAGAGGAAAUGAACUCCGAUUGAUAUUACCCUUCGAGGAAGUCACGGCUAACUACGUGCCAGCAGCCGCGGUAAUACGUAGGUGGCGAGCGUUAUCCGGAAUGAUUGGGCGUAAAGGGUGCGUAGGCGGCCUGCUAAGUCUGGAGUGAAAGGUACCGGCUCAACCGGUACAGGCUCUGGAAACUGGCG
Molecule: ribosomal RNA, 305 nt
Filed under: uncultured bacterium
Lineage: Bacteria
Description: bacterial SSU rRNA
Rfam family: Bacterial small subunit ribosomal RNA
Source: RNAcentral